This 31-nucleotide small RNA is filed under the name Bombyx mori (domestic silkworm). RNAcentral's name for it is "ovarian small RNA-32596". The record is from RNAcentral. Lineage: Eukaryota; Metazoa; Arthropoda; Insecta; Lepidoptera; Bombycidae.
UGAUCAACUAUUUCCGAUGCUAAGCAUCCCC